AAUGACCAAUGGAUGCACUAAGAUUUGAUUUCUGAAUGAAUAGAAGGUCUCCGAGGGGCCCUGAUGUAUGGUGAGCAAAGAUUGGCAGCUGUCUCAAAGUUUUUCUCACAUCUCAUCAAAGUUGACAAAGGAAUUACUCGGUGAGAUGGAAAGUAAAACUGCUAGGGGAGAUCGGUUCAGAUGGGAACUCCCAAAAGUGAUUGCCAGAAUGCUGAAUGAAGUUAAGAAGACCUUUCACUCAUCUUAAUUCCUUGUACCUUCUAAAUUGAUCUUUGCUAAGUCAAGGAAUCAAUGAGGGGAUGUUGGAUUCUACAGCUACUAUGAAAAAAAACCAUCAUGCUUUGGACCAAGGAAGCAAAGGCAGAGUGCAACUUUUUCAUCUUGGCAAAAGUCUGGAACCCUAUCUUGAAAAUAGAAUCCUUUCCUCCUUACAUGCAGCUGAGGUAGCUAGUGUGAGAUACAUGAUCUACUCGCUCAAUACAAUGUCUGCCAUUCAUCCCUAAGGAGUUUAUUGGACAGUAAAUGACAUUUAUCAGUGAAUUGGCCCAAUGAAUGGUUCAUCUCUUACUAAGACCCUUUCUGUCAGGACCUGGAAUCUGAUAAUCUAGAGAAAUAAAGGGAAUUACACGUCUUCAGUGGACUUUUCU
Long non-coding RNA from Lytechinus pictus (painted urchin), 647 nucleotides. RefSeq lists it as uncharacterized. The transcript has 4 exons. Lineage: Eukaryota; Metazoa; Echinodermata; Echinoidea; Temnopleuroida; Toxopneustidae. The record is from RefSeq and is a predicted model, not a curated record.